Molecule: long non-coding RNA, 451 nt
Organism: Lolium perenne
Lineage: Eukaryota; Viridiplantae; Streptophyta; Magnoliopsida; Poales; Poaceae
Source: RefSeq, a predicted model, not a curated record
CCUCCCGUCGCCGUUCGCGCUGCCCUUCUCUCUUCUCCAUACUACAGAGGAGAAGGAGCCUAGGGCUGCAGAUGUCGGGGCGCUGAGAACCACCGUCGAUGGUGGCGAGGCAGAGCCGCACAUUCACGCCAGCCGAGCACUCUCUCUCGGCAUCGUUCAUCCUCCGCUGCACCGACCAGCAUAAGCCCAUCUUGCCAUGAUAGAGAGGGAGAUGGAUAGAGGACGGGGAGCCAUGAGCAAGAGGAGAAGAGGAGAUCGAACCACCCCAUCCUCUUUUCCUUCCAGCGGAAGUCAUUGCCGCUGUUUCUUCGAUCCGAUGGUAUUAGUGCCUCUUCUUCACUAGGCAAUGUUUUUAUCCUUUAGAAUCUGAUGGAAUUUUGAUUCUUUUGUUUUGAAUUGAAUGUGUUAUUUGUAAAUUUGCAAGAAAUAAUUAGUCAAUAUGUUUAAACCU